This 673-nucleotide long non-coding RNA is filed under the name Lupinus angustifolius (narrow-leaved blue lupine). Its description in RNAcentral is "long non-coding RNA (LANG_LNC003011)". Lineage: Eukaryota; Viridiplantae; Streptophyta; Magnoliopsida; Fabales; Fabaceae. The record is from RNAcentral.
CUGCAUUGAAGAGAACUAACUGUUAAAGUAUGGCUGUUAUAUUUUUUUUGAGUAAUAAUAGAGCAUUCUAAGCAAUCAUAGGACACAUUCUCGUACACAUUUUAAACGAAAAUCAAGUAUGAUUCAGCAUAAUUCCAAGUAAAUGGCACUCAAUGGGUAGAAUGUAGCAUUAUUGGAAUUUCAGUUACAAUAAGCUAAAGGGCAGCAAUCAUGAGGUAAUCAAAAUAAAGUCAGAAAAGUGAUUCAGCCAUGGGUUAUCAACAGACAGAAUUCCAAAAGUAGCAAUAAAAGAGAUAUAUAUCAGAAACUCCUACCUGUUAAGCUCUCCCAAUUUUCAGUUAAACAUCAUCAUUAUCAACAUAAAGGAGAGUAUUCAUGGGCAGCCUUAAAGGAGAAUAAAAAACUGAAGCAAUCCAGAAAGUCUUUUAGUUACAUCAAUAAUCAGCAUAAAAGAAUAACCAAGAGAGUAGAGAAGGGGGCUAUCAUACAUGGUUAUCAAAAAAAGGGAACUCACAGCCAGAGAGAGCAGAUCACACAGUGAUAAAAGCAGCAAGCAGAAAGUAACAUAGAAAAGGGAGAGAGAUAAGUUUUAUGGGAUAGAGAAAUUAUUAUAAAAAGCAAAGCAUAAGUGUAGGCAUAGUUCUGACAGAUUACACAAAAGCAAGAGGAGACA